UACGAACUGUGCAAACGUUAUUCGGAAUCACUGGGCUUAAAGGGUGCGUAGGCGGCUGUCUAAGUAGGGUGUGAAAGCCCCCGGCUCAACCGGGGAAUUGCGCCCUAAACUGGACGGCUGGAGUGAGGCAGGGGUGUGUGGAACUUCCGGUGGAGCGGUGAAAUGUGUUGAUAUCGGAAGGAACGCCGGUGGCGAAAGCGACACACUGGGUCUCAACUGACGCUGAGGCACGAAAGCCAGGGGAGCAAACGGG
Molecule: ribosomal RNA, 253 nt
Filed under: uncultured bacterium
Lineage: Bacteria
Also listed under: 1 other name
Description: partial 16S ribosomal RNA
Rfam family: Bacterial small subunit ribosomal RNA
Source: RNAcentral